CCUGCAUCAGCUGCACAUGCUCUGGGUGGGAGCUGACAAUAUUUCCAUUUAUUCCUCAGCUUGGCUGGAGAAACAGCCCCUGAUUUCUCUGAGUCACUGCUGACAUCCUGCCCUGCUCCAGCACUUCCUCAUUCACAGGAGCUCCUUGCAGCAGCACGCCUGGAUCUCAGCACGUGCAGAGGGGACACAGGGAGACUCCACAGAGCCUUCCCUCCCUCUCAGGACAAAGCAAGUGCCUCCUAUGGAAGCUGAGCCUCCCUAAGCAGCCACCAGAGGUGACAGUCCAGGUGCUGGGACAUGUCCAUGACUGAGCUUUGCUUCAACAACAGGAAGCCACACUGUGGCAGGAACAACAGGCAGGAGAACAGCACCAGCACCUUCCCCACACAGAGCUUCCUCAGUGGGAAGAGAACCUUGGCCAAACCACUGCUUGCACCAUCAGAAUCAUCUCUGAGCACACAGAGAGGAACAAUCACUCAGGUAUUUGUACUCUUUAAUCUAUGAGAUCCUAUGAGGAUGGCAAAGGGAAGCCCAGAGUCCACAUUCAUUCCCAUCUCCACUUCUGCUCCAUUUUGGUAUUUUUUCCUGAGAAAGUACCUGAUUUAAAAUCCUCCUCAGAGAAAAUACUUUCAUUUUCCUUACAGGCUCAUUACUUUGUUGGGAGAUGUGCAGUUUUGGUGGCAUUUAGCAGUUUGUAGGAUGGUGCCUACACCUCCUGAUAAAUACAAACCCCAUCAGGUUUCUCCACUUUAUUGGCUCUCAGCUGGCUG
RNAcentral lists this long non-coding RNA (770 nucleotides) under Serinus canaria (Common canary). RNAcentral's name for it is "lncRNA (ENSSCAG00000011321.1)". Lineage: Eukaryota; Metazoa; Chordata; Aves; Passeriformes; Fringillidae. The record is from RNAcentral.